GACGAACGCUGGCGGCGUGCUUAACACAUGCAAGUCGAACGGAAGGGCCCUGCUUUUGUGGGGUGCUCGAGUGGCGAACGGGUGAGUAACACGUGAGUAACCUGCCCUUGACUUUGGGAUAACUUCAGGAAACUGGGGCUAAUACCGGAUAGGAGCUCCUGCUGCAUGGUGGGGGUUGGACAGUUUCGGCGGUUGGGGAUGGACUCGCGGCUUAUCAGCUUGUUGGUGGGGUAGUGGCUUACCAAGGCUUUGACGGGUAGCCGGCCUGAGAGGGUGACCGGCCACAUGGGGACUGAGAGACGGCCCAGACUCCUACGGGAGGCAGCAGUGGGGAAUAUUGCACAAUGGGCGGAAGCCUGAUGCAGCAACGCCGCGUGCGGGAUGACGGCCUGCGGGUUGUAAACCGCUUUCGCCUGUGACGAAGCGUGAGUGACGGUAAUGGGUAAAGAAGCACCGGCUAACUACGUG
This 468-nucleotide ribosomal RNA is filed under the name uncultured bacterium. RNAcentral describes it as "partial 16S ribosomal RNA". It matches the Rfam family "Bacterial small subunit ribosomal RNA", at positions 28 to 507 of the family's 1533-position model. The record is from RNAcentral.